CGGGAGGCAGCAGUUAGGAAUCUUCCGCAAUGGGCGAAAGCCUGACGGAGCGACGCCGCGUGGUGGAUGAAGUCCUUCGGGACGUAAACACCCUUUAUGAGGGAGGAAGUUUAUUGACGUUACCUCAUGAAUAAGGGGCUCCCAAUUCUGUGCCAGCAGGAGCGGUAAUACAGAAGCCCCAAGCGUUACCCGGAUUUACUGGGCGUAAAGGGUGUGUAGGCGGUGAUAUUAGUCAGUUGUUAAAACCUGUGGCUUAACCUCGGGAUUGCGACUGAAACGGUAUCACUAGAAGGAGUCAGAGGUGUACGGAACUCAAGGUGUAGGGGUGAAAUCCGUUGAUAUCUUGGUGAACACCAAAUGCGAAGGCAGUACACUGGGACUUUCUUGACGCUGAGGCACGAAAGCGUGGGUAGCGAACGGGAUUAGAUACCCGGGUAGUCCACGCCCUAAAC
Molecule: ribosomal RNA, 452 nt
Filed under: uncultured bacterium
Lineage: Bacteria
Description: bacterial SSU rRNA
Rfam family: Bacterial small subunit ribosomal RNA
Source: RNAcentral